This 395-nucleotide ribosomal RNA is filed under the name Weissella confusa. RNAcentral's name for it is "partial 23S ribosomal RNA". It matches the Rfam family "Eukaryotic large subunit ribosomal RNA", at positions 1 to 404 of the family's 3401-position model. The record is from RNAcentral. Lineage: Bacteria; Bacillati; Bacillota; Bacilli; Lactobacillales; Lactobacillaceae.
CCAUCUGGGAUACCCGCUGAACUUAAGCAUAUCAAUAAGCGGAGGAAAAGAAACCAACAGGGAUUGCCCUAGUAACGGCGAGUGAAGCGGCAACAGCUCAAAUUUGAAAUCUGGCUCUUUCAGGGUCCGAGUUGUAAUUUGUAGAGGGUGCUUUGGAGUUGACUGUGGUCUAAGUUCCUUGGAACAGGACGUCGCAGAGGGUGAGAAUCCCGUAUGUGGCCGCCAGUCUUCGCCGUGUAAAGCCCCUUCGACGAGUCGAGUUGUUUGGGAAUGCAGCUCUAAAUGGGAGGUAAAUUUCUUCUAAAGCUAAAUAUUGGCCAGAGACCGAUAGCGCACAAGUAGAGUGAUCGAAAGAUGAAAAGCACUUUGGAAAGAGAGUCAAAAAGCACGUGAAA